RNAcentral lists this ribosomal RNA (285 nucleotides) under Escherichia coli. RNAcentral describes it as "partial 16S ribosomal RNA". It matches the Rfam family "Bacterial small subunit ribosomal RNA", at positions 1 to 280 of the family's 1533-position model. The record is from RNAcentral. Lineage: Bacteria; Pseudomonadati; Pseudomonadota; Gammaproteobacteria; Enterobacterales; Enterobacteriaceae.
UUAAAUUGAAGAGUUUGAUCAUGGCUCAGAUUGAACGCUGGCGGCAGGCCUAACACAUGCAAGUCGAACGGUAACAGGAAGCAGCUUGCUGCUUUGCUGACGAGUGGCGGACGGGUGAGUAAUGUCUGGGAAACUGCCUGAUGGAGGGGGAUAACUACUGGAAACGGUAGCUAAUACCGCAUAACGUCGCAAGACCAAAGAGGGGGACCUUCGGGCCUCUUGCCAUCGGAUGUGCCCAGAUGGGAUUAGCUAGUAGGUGGGGUAACGGCUCACCUAGGCGACGAU